GGGGGGAGAGGAGAAGAAGGGGAUCAGGUCCCUGUUUUGGACAAGGAGAAGAGAAGAAGAAGCUUCUUCUCUCUCUUCUCAACUAAUUAACAAAUUAAAUUAGAUAAUUAAUUAAUCAAUUUAUAUAUAUAUUUUUAGAUGGUUUAAAAAAAUUUGGGAAGAAAAAAAUAUUGGGGACAAAGGUGAGGAUCUCGAUAAACCCCAAUAGGCGAUUUUAGAAAAUUAAUUUGAUUUAUUUUAUAAUAUUAAUUCAAUAUAUAUAGGAGAACAGUCUAUCGAACAGGAGGACAUCGAGUAGGAUUUUGACAUGCAUCC
Molecule: long non-coding RNA, 315 nt
Filed under: Elaeis guineensis (African oil palm)
Lineage: Eukaryota; Viridiplantae; Streptophyta; Magnoliopsida; Arecales; Arecaceae
Description: long non-coding RNA (EGUI_LNC079470)
Source: RNAcentral